Panthera uncia (snow leopard) is the source of this 1686-nucleotide RNA transcript. It is a transcript of the gene named transmembrane protein with EGF like and two follistatin like domains 2, with no coding region annotated. The transcript has 12 exons. The record is from RefSeq and is a predicted model, not a curated record. NCBI's taxonomy places the organism in Eukaryota, Metazoa, Chordata, Mammalia, Carnivora, Felidae.
GCGAGAGGCGGCUGCGGGGCUGUGGGGCGCUUUGACUCUCCUUCCACGCAGCCUCCUUGGACUCCUCUCCUCCGCCCUCCGGACUCCGGUCUCCUCGUGGUCCCCUGGCUUCCCAGAUCCCCCUCCUUAUGGCAGCAGCCCCCCGAGUCUCCGGCGCAGCUUCUCGGCGGACGACCCUCUCGCUCCCGGGGCUGGGCCGGGUCACUGGAUGUUGCUGAAACUCCGGAGACCAUGCGCGGGUUUGGCUGCUGCUUCCCCGUCGGGUGCCACUGCCGCCGCCGCCGCCUCUGCUGCCGCCGUCCGUGGGAUGCCCAGUAGCCCGCUGCCCGGCCCCCGCGAUCGCGUGUUCUUCGGAAGCCGUUUGCUACUGCAGAGUUGCGCGAACUAGUCAUGGUGCUGUGGGAGUCCCCGCGGCAGUGCAGCAGCUGGACACUCUGCGAGGGCUUCUGCUGGCUGCUGCUGCUGCCGGUGAUGCUACUCAUCGUAGCCCGCCCGGUGAAGCUCGCGGCUUUCCCUACCUCCUUAAGUGACUGCCAAACGCCCACCGGUUGGAACUGCUCUGGUUAUGAUGACAGAGAAAACGAUCUCUUCCUCUGUGACACCAACACCUGUAAAUUUGAUGGGGAAUGUUUAAGAAUUGGAGACACUGUGACUUGCGUCUGUCAGUUCAAGUGCAACAGUGACUAUGUGCCUGUGUGUGGCUCCAAUGGAGAGAGUUACCAGAAUGAGUGCUACCUGCGACAGGCUGCAUGCAAACAGCAGAGUGAGAUACUUGUGGUGUCUGAAGGAUCAUGUGCCACAGAUGCAGGAUCAGGAUCUGGAGAUGGCGUUCAUGAAGGCUCAGGAGAAACCAGUCAAAAGGAGACUUCCACCUGUGAUAUCUGCCAGUUUGGUGCAGAAUGCGAUGAAGACGCUGAGGAUGUCUGGUGUGUGUGCAACAUCGACUGUUCUCAAACCAACUUCAAUCCCCUCUGUGCUUCUGAUGGGAAAUCUUAUGAUAAUGCAUGUCAAAUCAAAGAAGCAUCAUGUCAGAAACAGGAGAAAAUUGAAGUCAUGUCGUUGGGUCGAUGUCAAGAUAACACAACUACAACUACUAAAUCUGAAGAUGGGCAUUAUGCAAGAACAGAUUAUGCAGAUUUGACGGGAACUGGAUUAACAGAAGAGUCAGAAGGCCCAAGUAAAGAUAAAGAAUAUGAGAAUGCUAACAAGUUAGAAGAAAGUGCAAGAGAGCACCACAUACCUUGCCCAGAACAUUACAAUGGUUUCUGCAUGCAUGGAAAGUGUGAACAUUCUAUCAAUAUGCAGGAGCCAUCUUGCAGGUGCGAUGCUGGUUAUACUGGUCAACACUGUGAAAAAAAGGACUACAGUGUACUGUAUGUUGUCCCCGGCCCUGUACGAUUUCAGUAUGUCUUAAUCGCAGCUGUGAUUGGAACCAUUCAGAUUGCUGUCAUCUGCGUGGUGGUCCUCUGCAUCACCAGGACAUUUAAAAUACAAAAUUGUUGAAGACCUUUAAAGUGAGAGGAGAUGAGCUCACAACUUGCUUGAUCGCAUUGUGCUGAGUCAUUCUUCUGCCUUACUGAGUGAGCAGCGCAAGACUAGGAAAUGCCCCAGAAGCAACAGAAUUCACAGACAGAAGCAAAAUACAGGGCACUACAGUUCAGACAACACAACAAGAGCAUCCACGAG